UGGGGAAUCUUGCACAAUGGGCGAAAGCCUGAUGCAGCGACGCCGCGUGCGGGAUGAAGGCCUUCGGGUUGUAAACCGCUUUCAGCAGGGACGAGGCCGCAAGGUGACGGUACCUGCAGAAGAAGCCCCGGCUAACUACGUGCCGGCAGCCGCGGUAAUACGUAGGGGGCAAGCGUUAUCCGGAUUCAUUGGGCGUAAAGCGCGCGUAGGCGGUCUGUUAGGUCAGGAGUUAAAUCUGGGGGCUCAACCCCUAUCCGCUCCUGAUACCGGCAGGCUUGAGUCUGGUAGGGGAAGAUGGAAUUCCAAGUGUAGCGGUGAAAUGCGCGGAUAUUUGGAAGAACACCGGUGGCGAAGGCGGUCUUCUGGGCCAUGACUGACGCUGAGGCGCGAAAGCUAGGGGAGCGAACAGG
Molecule: ribosomal RNA, 410 nt
Filed under: Verrucomicrobiota bacterium
Lineage: Bacteria; Pseudomonadati; Verrucomicrobiota
Description: Verrucomicrobia bacterium partial 16S ribosomal RNA
Rfam family: Bacterial small subunit ribosomal RNA
Source: RNAcentral